Molecule: ribosomal RNA, 496 nt
Filed under: uncultured bacterium
Lineage: Bacteria
Description: partial 16S ribosomal RNA
Rfam family: Bacterial small subunit ribosomal RNA
Source: RNAcentral
GAUGAACGCUGGCGGCGUGCCUAAUACAUGCAAGUCGAGCGAACGGACGAGAAGCUUGCUUCUCUGAUGUUAGCGGCGGACGGGUGAGUAACACGUGGAUAACCUACCUAUAAGACUGGGAUAACUUCGGGAAACCGGAGCUAAUACCGGAUAAUAUUUUGAACCGCAUGGUUCAAAAGUGAAAGACGGUCUUGCUGUCACUUAUAGAUGGAUCCGCGCUGCAUUAGCUAGUUGGUAAGGUAACGGCUUACCAAGGCAACGAUGCAUAGCCGACCUGAGAGGGUGAUCGGCCACACUGGAGCUGAGACACGAUCCAGACUCCUACGGGAGGCAGCAGUAGGGAAUCUUCCGCAAUGGGCGAAAGCCUGACGGAGCAACGCCGCGUGAGUGAUGAAGGUCUUCGGAUUGUAAAACUCUGUUAUUAGGGAAGAACAUAUGUGUAAGUAACUGUGCACAUCUUGACGGUACCUAAUCAGAAAGCCACGGCUAACUACGU